GAUGAACGCUAGCGGCAGGCUUAAUACAUGCAAGUCGAGGGGCAACAGGGGUAGUGAUACCUGCUGGCGACCGGCAAACGGGUGCGCAACACGUACAGAACCUUCCUUUAAGCGGGGGAUAGCCCAGAGAAAUUUGGAUUAAUACCCCAUGGUAUUGUUGGGUGGCAUCACUUAACAAUUAAAGAUUUAUCACUUAGAGAUGGCUGUGCGUCUGAUUAGGUAGUUGGUUGGGGUAAUGGCCCACCAAGCCUUCGAUCAGUAACUGGUGUGAGAGCACGACCAGUCACACGGGCACUGAGACACGGGCCCGACUCCUACGGGAGGCAGCAGUAAGGAAUAUUGGUCAAUGGAGGCAACUCUGAACCAGCCAUGCCGCGUGAAGGAUGAAGGUCCUCUGGAUUGUAAACUUCUUUUAUGUGGGAAGAAAUGCAUUCUUUAUAGAGUGUUUGACGGUACCAUAGGAAUAAGCACCGGCUAACUCCGUGCCAGCAGCCGCGGUAAC
Molecule: ribosomal RNA, 502 nt
Filed under: uncultured bacterium
Lineage: Bacteria
Description: bacterial SSU rRNA
Rfam family: Bacterial small subunit ribosomal RNA
Source: RNAcentral